GUGUUGAUAUUAAGAUAUUGCUUGGAAUAGAAAGGUUUAGACCAUCGGAAUUAAGAGGCAUCAAAAUAGUUUUCGAAAGAUUAAUUUUAAAUCCCGAUAGUAUGCCAAAUUCGUCUAUAAUUUUGAGGGCAUUAGGAAGCGAGCACUGCAAGUCAGAUAGAAAUAAUAAUAUGUCAUCUACAUAUAGGGAAAUAGAGUGGCUUGAAGCACCUAACCGGAUUGGCGUAACCAGAUUGCACUGCCUAACAUACUGUGCCAGAGGUUCUAUUGAUAGAUUGAACAAAAAGGGGGAAAGUGGACAACCCUGCCUCGUACCUCUAUGAAUAUGAAAUCUGUCUGAUAUGAGUCCACCAGUAGAUACCCUGGCCAUGGGAUUAGUGUAUAGAGUUUGUAUCAUUCUAAUGAACCGGUCACCAAAAUUGAACUUCUUUAAAGUAUACCACAGAUAACCCCAUUCAAGCCGAUCAAAGGCUUUUUCGGCAUCAAUAAAUAGAAGGCCACUAGGCACUUUCAAUUUCCUUGAUUCCGCAAUGACGUGUAACACUCGGCGGAUGUUGUCAGAAGCCAGGCGUCCAGGGAUAAAACGUGAUUGAUCUGGACCAAUUAGCUUAUGUAUUACUACUUGUAGACGUCUAGCAAUAACUUUAGCAUAAAUUUUGACAUCUUCAUUUAUCAAGGAAAUGGGCCUAUAAUUAGAACAGUCUGAGUGAUCCUUUCCGGGUUUAGGUAGGACAGAGAUUAGAGCUGUAUUUAAGUCUUGGUGAAAAUGGCCUUUGAAUACGGCCUCAUUUAUAGUACGUAACCAAAUGUGGCCUAAUAAAUCCCACAGCACCAGGUAUAACUCAGCCGGAAGACCGUCAAUUCCGGGAGACUUUCCUUUACUUGAACAAAUUACUGCAUUAUGUAGUUCUUCUAGAGUUAUAUCAGAGUCAAGGUUGUCCACCUCCUCCUCUGAAAGUUUAUUUAAAUUCAAUUGGUCGAAAAAUCUUUUUAACUGGCCAGUACUGGGUUGUGUUUCUGAAACAUAUAAUUUUUCAAAGAAUGACAUGAAUAUUUUGCUAAUAUCUUUGGGAUGUGAAUUGAGAACAUUUUUUGAAUUUGUAAUCGCCCUUAUAUUAAAACGUUGCUCAUGUUUUUUCAGAGUAAGUGCAAGGAGCCGGCUUGGUCUGCUUCCAUCUAUAUACAGUAGUAUUUCUGUUUCGUAAUAUGCAUAAGAUAUUCUGCUCUUCUGCGAAGCAAAUCACUGAGUGCAGCCCUUUCCACAUUUAACUCAUGUAGUUUAAUAUUGGAAAAGUUGUAUCCUAAUUCCUUUUCCAAGUCCCCACAUCUUUUUUCUAAUACUGAUAUUUUUUCAAAAUAUUUCUUUUUAAGUCUAGCAGAAAAGGAGAUGGCUUUGUUCCUUAAAAAGCCUUUGAUAGAUGCCCAUAGCAUAUCAUUGUUGGAGACUGAAUUUUGAUUCAAUCUGAUAAACUCAGUCAGUUCUGGUCUCAGUUGAGAUAGGAAUUCCUCGUUCUGUAAAAGUAGAGUAUUAAAUCUCCAUCUUGACGAUUUACAGGAUGUCUUAAUCUGGAGUUGUGCUAAUACAGCAUUAUGGUCAGAAACACUUUGUGGUAGGAACUCAAUGUGUAUUAGAUCUGAAAGUAGUGGUGAUGAAAGUAAAAUAUAAUCAAUUCUUGAAAAUGAUUUGUGGCUUGGGGAAAAAUAGGUGUAUUCUUUAGCCGUUGGAUUUUGUAAACGCCAGGCAUCACAUAAGUCUAGGUCUUUACUAAACAAUCUCAGUGCUGCAGAAGAAUGAGACUGUGUUACUGAAAUUGAAGGAUUGGAGCGAUCCAAAGCCGUGUCAAACACAGCAUUCAUAUCUGAUCCAAUGACGAUUGAAUAGUUAUGAAGAGAUAAAAGAGUUUUCAAAACUUGUGGAAAAAAGGAGGCAUCAUAUGAGUUUGGGGCAUAUAUAUUAACAAAUGCAUACCUAUUUCCUUCAAUUAAGGCACAACAAUACGCAACUCGGCCAUCGUCAUCAGAGCCUUUAUGUUCAACAAUAAAAUUAGAAUUACGCUUAAAAAGAAUUGACACCCCUUGUUUUUUAGACUUACAACAUGAUGAUAUUAUGGGAAUAUAACGCCUGUUUUGCAUUCUUUGGGUGUCCAUUGCAGUAAGAUGGGUUUCUUGAAGAAACGCUACAUCGAUUUUCUUUCUGUGCAUAAGAUCUAAAACCCGAGUACGUUUAAUCAGAGAGUUAAACCCCCUAACAUUGAGAGACAAUAUAUUUAUAUUAACCAUAGUCUACAAUUGUUGGAGUCACACAGAAUAACGCAUAAGGUAAAAAACAGAUUGUUGAGCAUAUAACCAAGAUUUUCACAACCAUUUGCAGUAACAAAAUCAGUAUUGGUCCUGGGUGCUUUAUGCGCCUAAGCGCCCCCUCCCUCUCCCCUAUAACCCUUUUAGCAAACAUCUGUGGCGAUUGCGAGGCAAUGUCUAGAACACUAUUCACCUUAUUAACCUCUAUGAUUUAAACAAACAGAUAAAUGUAGAAUUAUAAGACGAUUAUUACAGAACUCAGAAUAAUCAUAUAACAUGUGAUAUCCAUAACUGAACUCUUUAUGACCACCGGAAUUAAAUUAUGGGCUGAGGCCCAACUUUCAAGAUUAGCGAGCUUACAGUACUUCAACUAAACUCUCUUCAAAGCAACAUCUAACAGUCCGCACAUGAGGUAUAAAAAUAACAAUAGAAUAAACAAUUAAAUAAAGUACCAUAGGAAGAAAAGCUUAAGUGUUCCAUUUCCACCUGUUACUAAUUCAAUGUCUAUCAAAUUAUCAGAGUUUGAUAUUACACCUAUGGAUGAAAGCUAUGCUAAAGAUAAUGAGCCCAGGUUUAAUGAUAUGCCUGUGAUUACAUCACUUGUCGAACAAAUACAGAUACAGUUUCUAGUUGACUCAGGAGCAGGGUACUUUGUGAUACGAUUGUGUGAAUUUUCUAUUUCACUUAUAAUGAGCAAUCACUCCCUGUUUACUACGUGAGCAUCAGGAAUGUCAGUCAUUGAGACAUUCUCAGUGCCCUUAAGGUGCAAAACUGUAACUACACAGAAACAAUUUGGAUUUUCUUUUUUGAUUUCUGAGUAUUGCCCAAUAAAUCUGUUGGGUCGAGAUUUGAUGUGCAAAUUAAAUUUAAAUCUAAUCAACACAUCACUAGUCCUUAAGAUAGAAUAGGGAGAUGACUCCUGCUUUGUAAAAUAUUAUCCCAGAUCUCUGCUCUAUGAUACAAAUGGAAACUGUGUGAUUUCUCUUUUACUGACGUCACACACACACUUGUGGGAAGAGCAAAAAUUCUCACCUCUUCUUCUCACACAGACUACAUAAAACCAGAAACUUUACAUUGCACUGCACACAUACACAGAUGCGAACCAGAUGAGAGCUAUGAGAAAGAGUGGUAUAGGAAGUUGGAUAAGUCAGAUGUACUGAUCUUGAAACGUUUGAUAUGGAGUGAGCAAAGAUGUGAUGUAGAGGAAGACUUAUCUCGGGUUUCAACUCGAGCUGGUUAUCCACACCUAUUCCAAAUGAACCAUGCAUCUCCACAUCUCUCUUUAGCCAAAUCUGCCAAUGAUGAGUGGGAAAUCUUGGUAAAAUGGAUGUUACAGGUUAGUCUGACUCAUGACUGCGAGCAAACCAGGCAGCCAGCUGUCUUUUACAGCUCAAAAUUAAAUGCAUAAAGCACACCACUAAAUUGCAUGGUUAGGGCAAAAAGAGAUGUGGAGAUCCGUCCUGAUGAAUUUUACAACCCAUGGUGUAAAAUUGAAGCAUCAUUUUGGCACAGGGCCAGAACUACUGACUGGACCCUGCCUAAAUUAGAAUCUUCAGACAUUCAAUUACAAAAGGUGCCCAAAGAGUUGUGGGCGGAUGGAAAAUAUGAUGUAGUCCUGAUUAAAAAUUGUCCUUCAUUUACCAUUAUUCUAAAAACCGGUUAAAAAUUAUAAAUAAAUGAAUAAAUAAAUAAAUAAAUAAAUAAAUAAAUAAAUAAAUAAAUAAAGGCUCAAUAUCCCCUAAAACCAGAAGCUAUAGCAGGUAUAACACCGGUGUUCAACUCCCUGUUAAAAGCUGGAGUUAUUGUACCAUGUGAGACAUCUCCUGUGCUAAUCCCACUGUUCCCAGUAAAGAAAAUAAGCCUGUCAAAUCUGAAAUUUGUUCAACAAGAAGUGAAGUUCCUAGGACAUUUAAUUUUUGCAGAAGGUAAACGACUCGAGUCAAGCAGAAUAGAGGCAAUUCAGAAAAUUCCAAAACCGUUUACAAGAAAAACAGUUAAUGUCUUUUUUAGGCAUGUGUUCAUACUGUAGGUUAUUUAUACCCAAUUAUGCUGUUUUAGAGGCACCGCUGAGCGCAAUUGCUCAUGGACAAGGCCUACAAGCACACAGCAAAGUGACGUGGACUGAGACUGCAAAAGCUGCAUUUGAACGACUGAAACAGAAAUUACAGAUGACACCCACACUAGGCAUCCCUGACCCAAUGAGACCAUUUACACAAACUGUUGACGAAAAAGGGGAUCCAUGACAUCAGUUUUACUCCAAGAUCAUGGGGGCAAACUCAGACCAGUAGCAUAUUUUUCAGCUAAACUGGAUCCAGUGGCAGCAAGUCUGCCCAUGUGUCUCAGAGCAGUAGCUGCAGCAGAAAAGGCAAAGAAGGAAAUGAUCAUUUUUGAAGGGCCUGUAAACAUCCUAAUGUUCAAUUUAUGAUCAUUAAUUAUGGACCUGGUUCUGUAUCACAAUAUCACAUGUGGGUAAUGGACUGUGGAUUUCCAGAAAAAGCUAGUUUUAGUGAAAGGCAGUUAGAAAAGUUGAGAGAAAAGUCACAUGAGCAUGAGGCUUCAAAGAAAAAAGGGAAAAAGAGACAAGAAGUAGAUUGGGUUGCAUAUAAUAUGUGGGCAACUCUGGCAAAAACCCAGAGCAUGCAAAUCAAACACACAAACUUAUUCACAGUCUUCUUCUCUUCAGUGUUUUUAAAACUCUUGUAGACCCAGACCUGGAGGGCUGCCCGCUCAGACCACCACCUCAGGCACCCCCGCAGACGAACAAUAACCAACCACCAGCUGUUACACUGCUGCGGCUUCUACACCCAACCAACGGACAGUUUACUCUCCAGCAGGAUACUACAGCAGACGUGCACAAAGGACUGCAGUUCUUAGAGGUGCGAGACCAGAUGAUCCUCUUUCCAGCACACUCAGGGAACAUGAUCUUUUUACUUUCCAGUAAAAAUGGACAUGACAAAAAUCUCCUUAUGUAGACAAGAGGACAAUGAAACAGUCUCCAGAUAUCUUGCACAAUUGACAGAAGAAGUACAUGAUGCACACAGCGGCCUUGAACGCCCUGAUAACAUGGCUGAAGCUGCUGACCUCACUCCGUAUGAGGUACAUUUGAGAAACAGUUUCAUAAAUGGAUUAAGAGAGGACAUUGCAAGAAACGUCAAGCAAACUUGCAUUAUCCGGGACACUGAAAAUCUGUCUUUGAACAGCAUUUCAUCCAUGCAGAAAAGCUGCUAAAGGCCGAGAGACAAAAAGAAAAGACAAAAGGUUAGAAAUGAAACACCGUCCCAACAUGGUUCAGUUGCCUGAGGUCCGAGGAGAUUCCAUCAGAGGAAGGGGCUGUAGCCAUGGGAAAGUUACAAGAAGAGGACGGAACAGACCUGGAUUUCAGAAUGGAUGUUUUGUAUGCAGAAGUUCAGAUCACUGGGCACAAGAUUGCCCUAAGAAAUAUCGAGGGGAAACCAAGUAUCAAGAGGCAUGAGGUUCGGACGAGUUUGAGAACCCAGGGAUGGACAGGUGAAGGAUGCCCUUCCUAAACCACAUACAGAUGCAUUGUAUGCCCUGAAGCUUGGCGAGUGGAUCAUGGUGAAAGAUUUCAGGAGAAAGAACUGGAAGGCCAUGCAUUGGCUGGGACCAUUCCAGAUUUUGUUGACUACUCCCACCGCUGUGAAAAUAGUGGACAGAGUAACAUGGAUCCACGCCAUUCACUGCAAACGGGUAUCAGGCCAGGAAUAAAAGAACAGAUCAGUUAACCCACCGUUAACAAUGAAAAAUUAACUCCUGAGACCAUCUGCAUUUUUGUCCAAUUAAGUGAGGGGCUGGGUUACCUGCACUCACGAAACAGCCUAGACUGGUAGUGUUCCUAGGCCUCGGUGAGGUGGGACGAUUGCGAAUGGGCAGUGCCUGCACUCUGAGCACCGAUAUACGUCAAGGAUAUACGUUCACUUAAAGUUUAGUGCUGUUUAUAUGAAUCACCACGUGACAUCCUAAAUAUCCUGUUAUUGAGACACAGAGAAGAAAAUCACUCCAGUGGACGUUGUUUGGACAUUUUAAGCGGUGUAGCAUGUGUAAACCCAGGGCUGUCAAGUGUCACGCAUUGAGAGUGACAGUCACGCAUUUUGGUCUUUUGUCACGCUCUCCCGCCCCACAUCGUAUUUCUCACGCAGAAAAACUAUUUGACUAUUUAUCAGAGGUGGGAGUAAGUCACACAUGUGCAAGUCUCAAGUAAGUCUCAAGUCUUAACCUUCAAGUCUCAAGCAAGUCCGAGUCAUUUUUUGUGAGUGUCAAGCCAAGUCAAGUCAAGUCACUGCUUUAUGUCAAGCAAGUCAAGUCGUAGCUUGAGUCAAGCAAGUCACUGGCAAGUCAUACAGAUGUUUGAUGAUUUAACUAAAUGUAUAUAUUAAACAAAGUUAAAUCUACAGUA
Tachysurus vachellii is the source of this 6712-nucleotide long non-coding RNA. RefSeq lists it as uncharacterized. NCBI's taxonomy places the organism in Eukaryota, Metazoa, Chordata, Actinopteri, Siluriformes, Bagridae. The record is from RefSeq and is a predicted model, not a curated record. The transcript has 2 exons.